This 619-nucleotide ribosomal RNA is filed under the name uncultured bacterium. RNAcentral's name for it is "bacterial SSU rRNA". The stretch from base 1 to 533 matches the Rfam family "Bacterial small subunit ribosomal RNA", at positions 338 to 873 of the family's 1533-position model. The record is from RNAcentral.
CCUACGGGAGGCAGCAGUAAGGAAUAUUGGUCAAUGGACGAAAGUCUGAACCAGCCAUGCCGCGUGAAGGAUGAAGGCCCUCUGGGUUGUAAACUUCUUUUAUCUGGGACGAAAAAAGCUCAUUCUUGAGCACUUGACGGUACCAGAGGAAUAAGCACCGGCUAACUCCGUGCCAGCAGCCGCGGUAAUACGGAGGGUGCAAGCGUUAUCCGGAUUCACUGGGUUUAAAGGGUGCGUAGGUGGGUCUGUAAGUCAGUGGUGAAAUCUCCGAGCUUAACUCGGAAACUGCCAUUGAUACUAUAGGUCUUGAAUCAUCUGGAGGUAAGCGGAAUAUGUCAUGUAGCGGUGAAAUGCUUAGAUAUGACAUAGAACACCAAUUGCGAAGGCAGCUUACUACGGGUGUAUUGACACUGAGGCACGAAAGCGUGGGGAUCAAACAGGAUUAGAUACCCUGGUAGUCCACGCCCUAAACGAUGGAUACUCGACAUCAGCGAUACACUNUUGGUGUNUGAGCGAAGACAUAAGUAUCCACCGUACGGAAGACGACCGCGAGUAGUAACGUACGAAGAAGUUAGACGGACGUAGAGACGNGCCGACGGACGACGACGAGGGAGGAGGG